RNAcentral lists this ribosomal RNA (39 nucleotides) under Pseudolactococcus chungangensis CAU 28 = DSM 22330. Its description in RNAcentral is "Lactococcus chungangensis CAU 28 = DSM 22330 16S rRNA. Bacterial SSU". The record is from RNAcentral. Lineage: Bacteria; Bacillati; Bacillota; Bacilli; Lactobacillales; Streptococcaceae.
AUUUAAAUGAGAGUUUGAUCCUGGCUCAGGACGAACGCU